GCGUAUUGUUGACAAAUUUAGGAGUUCAUUAACUCCUAAAUUGGUUGAAACACUAGUGUGCCUUCAAGAUUGGCUUCGGAGUGAAUCGCUUCUUGUAAAUGUUGAGGAAGAUUUAGAUUUUCUCGAGACACUCGAGGAAGGUAUGUAUAUUUUAAUUAAUUUUAUUGUAUUUCUAAGAUAGUUAAAUAAUAUAUUAAUUGUUUGACUUGUUAAUAUAUAUUCUUAUUAUGUUUUACUAGUAUUGACAAAGAAGCUUCCACCGACAAUGUUUGCUAGAGUUUGCUACCUGGCAGGUGCAACGUAAGUUCUCUCCUCUAUCUGUUUUUAGUUUCGCAAGCAUGACCCCCAGAUUGAUGUAUGCUAUAUAAAUGUUUUGGGUUCACAGAUGAAUGAGGAAAUAUGGAGACUUCAAGUUCUAUGCUAUCACAGUUAUCAUCGCAACAACUGAUGAAAAUUUAUGUAUGCGUCAGCUGGUUGUCCUUGUACAGAAUGUUGUUGAUGCCUUAAUCCUGAUUGCCACUAUUUUUGUCCUUGUCCAAAAUGUUGUUGAUGUAUGUAUAAUUUACGUUUAUGUAUUGAA
This 580-nucleotide long non-coding RNA is filed under the name Nicotiana benthamiana. RNAcentral describes it as "long non-coding RNA (NBEN_LNC039572)". Lineage: Eukaryota; Viridiplantae; Streptophyta; Magnoliopsida; Solanales; Solanaceae. The record is from RNAcentral.